CAGGCUGGCACGAGCAACAUUUCGAUCCCCCGGCGGCUCCUCCUCGAAGGUGCCGUCGGAGGGUCGCGUGUUUCUGGUGUUGCGUUGGGACGACGCGUGAGCGGCUUUUAGGACAUGAUCCCAGCGCAGGCUCCAUGCUAUAGCGUCGAACUGCCCUGGUCUGUUCCGUUUCAUUGGUCGGUUCGCGUCGGCCCUAUCAGGGUCGGUAGCGGCAGAACGGUGGGUUACUGUUUCCCGAUAUCUGAUUACGGCAGUCGCACGGGCUAUCGUACCCGUCAUGGUUCCGUCGAUCCACCCCCCGUCUCUUGGGAGUCGGUGGAUGUAGCGCGGGCAUCCGACGUCGUCCGUCGGGGAAGGCGUCCCCCACUUCGGGCGCAUCUUCUAGGGACGGCGGGCGGGUGCCGCCGGGCACGCUCUCGGGUGCGGCGAUGUCGCUGGUCGUCGCAUCGUCCCUCGUCGGCCGUUGUGAUCUCGACCUGUCGAAGCGCUGACGCUUCGCCCGCGUGACUGUCGUCCCUGCCUAAGGGUUGACGGGGCCUUCUCGGUUCCGUGAUCGCCUAGGGGAGGCGUCGAGGUCUACGGAGGAAUGC
RNAcentral lists this unclassified non-coding RNA (590 nucleotides) under Rostranthera tetraptera. Its description in RNAcentral is "Acisanthera tetraptera partial external transcribed spacer". Lineage: Eukaryota; Viridiplantae; Streptophyta; Magnoliopsida; Myrtales; Melastomataceae. The record is from RNAcentral.